CGAUAGUCCUAGACGCACACUUGUCUUCAUAUUUGUUUUUAUGUGUCGUGAUGGCGCGUCACUUCCUGUUAGAAGCGGAUAUGCGUUUCCCAAGAAGUGUUUCCCUUCGCUUUUGGUGACAGGAUGCCAGCUUUGCCAUUGAAUCAGAUUCAGGUGACUCUGUUUUCUGUCCAUGAAUAUGGACAUUUGUCUGUACCCCUUUAACGUUGACAUAUGCUUUUUCAGAUGUUUGACUGAAUUAGGUGAGUCCAAGUGGUUGUUUUCGUUCUUACCAGUAUCCUGAGCGUAUUGUAUGAAGGCACUUUGUUGUAUAUGUACCCCCUCCAGCUCCCAGUGCUCCAGGAGCUAAUUUGAUCACACAAGACCUACGCUGGUUACUGGGGCACAUGUCACAUGACCUCUUCUGGUGCCAAACUACUAAUUAUUAUUAUUUAUUAUUUUUUUUUAAACCUUGCAUGUCAUACAUUAAUAAAAUCUUGUAAAAAAAAAAAAAUAAGAAGGAAAGGUGUGAAAUCACUAGGGAUGCUGAAUGUAAGGGGUCAUAAUCACUUACCUGAUACUGCGGGCUGGUGCUCCUGCUCACUGAAAACUUUAAAUGUUUUUGUGAACCAAAAGGAGCUGGUGCUCCUGCUUUAAAGGUUUUCAUAAACCAGCCUGGGCCCAUUAAAGAAGAGAAAGAAGAUUAUUGCUCCACGGUGCUCCUACCAAACUACCAGUUCCCACCCUUUUGACUGAAUGUAAUGAGCUCUGUGCAUAUAAGAAGCAAUGCUUUUUGUCCAGGGACAUACAUUAAAAAUAAAUGUACUUUGAAAAAUGUAUUUUUUCCAUUUCUUAAGAGGAAUUGCCUUUUUGCUUUUCCCAUAUACAUAUGCAGGCAUUUUACAAUUCUCUCAGUUGCCAGUCUAUUAUAACGUUUAUGUUCUGUUGUACCGAUUUUACAAUUUUAUUUAGUUUUUUUAUGCUUCCAAAGUACUUGGUGGAGCAAGGUUUGAGAAGUGUGUAUUCAGACAUAUAUCAGUGAGAGCUGCCAUACACUUGCACUUACACAGGAAAAAUGCAACAGCAUUUGUAGUAAUCAUUUAUAGAAUUCUUAGGCUCAUGGCACACAGGACAUUUUCUCUGCUAUACUUGAAUACUUGAAUCCAACUAAUGACCAAUGUCAUUAGUUUCAGUGUAUGCCUUCUGUCACCAGUUAGAACAGGCAGUGCUUCACAGCUGACUGCAAAACAUCGGUAGAUAAUACAUUUUGUGUGCUUACGGCCAAAUCUAUCGCUGGAGUUGCCUAAUAGGGAAGGAAGAUGAUAACUCCAACCCAGUGAAUGGAUACAAUUAAGCACCGUGUGUGAGAAACAAUGCAUUUUGUCCAGGGUAAUGAUUGCUGUACAAUGUUUUUUUUUUGUUUUUUUUUAGAGAAGGAGUUCCCUUUUCCCCAUAUACAAUCCCUCUGUGUGUUUUUGAGGCAUUCUACUAUUACCGUUGUCUAUAAUAAAAUCAUUUUGUGUUAAAUGUAGCAACUAUGCACUUGACCAGUGUUCUUACUAUUCGCGUUCUGUUUCUAAAACUUCAGGUGAUAUUUAACGAGUCACUACAAAAAUGUCUAGACUCUUUUUUUUUUGAGCAGUGCUUCAAGGAGAUAUGACUGCCACUAUCCCUUUCCUCCUCCUGUGCAGAAAGUGCAAAAUGAGCUUCAUCGCUAUGUCUUCCUCGCCUUCUUGUCGACACACAAGGAGUCCAAGGGGCCUCAACAUAAUAUCACUGAAUGCAAUAAAUCUUUCAUUCAUUGCAUAUUUGUUUAAUUGUGUCUGUUUAUUAAAGGAACACCACAUUACCCCCUCUGUCUUUGGGGAAAAUCUUGUACAACAACUAUCUGUUUGGCAUCUUGGAUAUCUGUGUUCUUUUUGGAAUGAGAAAUUCUGCUCUGCUGCAGAAGAUUAUAGUUAAACAAUGCUGAAUUUGCUUUUUUUGUAUUUAUUGAUGGCCACAACCCUUCAUUCUCUACUGUUAACAUUUUUGAAGGUAGUUACUCUAAAAAUGCUCCUCUAUAGCCCUUACAGAUGUACUGCAUUUAUACAAUGGAUUGCCCCCCUCGCCUCUCCAUCUCCAAGCUGUGUCUUAGUUAAAAAGAAGCCCCUGAAAAAAACCCUGAACAGUGGUUUGCACUGCAGAACAGUGCAGUGGAGUUCCAGGGCGCCAUCUUCUGGACGUUCUUGUUCUUUCAGGUCUGACCGCAGAUGGGAGCAUGCACAGUUCAAGCUGAUUCCUGGCUGGGCACAACUGUGCAUGCUCCCACAGGCUUUGUGGCAGCGAAGAGACCUGAAAGAACACUAAAUAGCCAGUAUUUAGUAACACUCGUUUUGGCGCAGGUUAAAACUUGUUAAUUAUCUGUAGCCUCCCGAUUAAAAAAAAUUCAAGAUAAUAUUUUAAUUAUUAUAAACUGUGUAUAGUUACUUUCCUUUCAAGAAAAUAAACAUAUACAAUUGAAAAGUAAAUAAAUAUUUUAACACUUGA
Molecule: long non-coding RNA, 2508 nt
Organism: Xenopus laevis (African clawed frog)
Lineage: Eukaryota; Metazoa; Chordata; Amphibia; Anura; Pipidae
Exons: 2
Source: RefSeq, a predicted model, not a curated record